CACGUAGGGUGCGAGCGUUGUCCGGAAUUAUUGGGCGUAAAGAGCUCGUAGGCGGUGUGUCGCGUCGGCCGUGAAAACCUGGGGCUUAACUCUGGGCUUGCGGUCGAUACAGGCAUCACUGGAGUUCGGCAGGGGAGACUGGAAUUCCUGGUGUAGCGGUGAAAUGCGUAGAUAUCGAGAGGAACACCAGUGGCGAAGGCGAGUCUCUGGACAUUUCCUGACGCUGAGGCACGAAAGCCAGGGGAGCAAACGGG
Molecule: ribosomal RNA, 254 nt
Filed under: uncultured bacterium
Lineage: Bacteria
Description: partial 16S ribosomal RNA
Rfam family: Bacterial small subunit ribosomal RNA
Source: RNAcentral